RNAcentral lists this long non-coding RNA (362 nucleotides) under Notechis scutatus (mainland tiger snake). Its description in RNAcentral is "lncRNA (ENSNSUG00000010071.1)". The record is from RNAcentral. Lineage: Eukaryota; Metazoa; Chordata; Lepidosauria; Squamata; Elapidae.
CGGCUUCUCAAGGGCAGGAGUUGCUGACGGGAUCGAGCUGAAGUCUCCCUGCCUUGUAGCGGAUCGCCAGGAUAAUGCUGCGGGAAAAUAUGGCUGUGACGCUCGUGAAGAACUCUGGAACAUGAACAACCAAAAUUACCUGCUGCCCGACCUCCUCCAACAGAGUCAGAUUCCAGCAAACCAAAUGAAAACUUCUGCUCAAGAACUUCCAAACAAUCCUCCUGCUAACCAGCAGGCACUGAAUGCUGACAGUACCCCUUCCAAAAACAGUUCUUCUUCUACAUCAUCUUUUACACCCUUCAUUGAUCCUAGACUUCUCCAAAUCUCGCCUCACUCCAGUCCAACUGGACCAAACUGUGGUU